Rhea pennata is the source of this 3700-nucleotide RNA transcript. It is a transcript of the gene named TLE family member 2, transcriptional corepressor, with no coding region annotated. The transcript is spliced from 21 exons. Lineage: Eukaryota; Metazoa; Chordata; Aves; Rheiformes; Rheidae. The record is from RefSeq and is a predicted model, not a curated record.
GGCUCCCGGCCGGUAGAGCGGGUCCGGGCGGGAACGGCCCAGGGGCGGACCCGUGCUCGGAGCCCUCUCGCCCCCCGAGGGCGCCCGGCUUGGCCCCACGAGCGGCGCCUGCGGAGCCGGUGCCUCUGGGCCCCGUCGGGGCGGGAAGCUGCGCGCACGGCGGGGCUGCGCGGCCGCUGCCCUGCCUGGUGCCCCGCCCGGUGCCCCGCUGCCCAGUCCCCGCUGCCCGACACGCCCUCUGCGGUGCCCCCUGCCUGGCCUCGCUGCCUUUCCCGAUGCCCCUGCCCGAGUCCGCUGCCCUCUGCUGCUCUGCCCGCCCCGGUGCCUGCUCCCGGCGCCCGUUGCCCUCCCGGCCCCCCCCUGCCCUCCCGCUGCUCUGCCCAGCUCUCCCUCCCCGGUCCCCGCUGCCUGGCCCGGUGCCCGAUCCCGGCUGCCCGUCCCGGUCCCGCUGCCGGUGCCCGCUGCCCUCACCGGUGCCGCGCCGGUCCCGCCGCCCUGCCGGUGCCCUCCCGCCCAUUCCGGGGCGCGGGCGGCCCUGCCGCCGUGUCCUGCAGGAACGAGCCACCUUAAGCGGUGCCGGGGGACGGCGGCGCUCGCCGGGCCGCGCCGGGAGGCAGCUUCCACCCGCGCCGGGGAGGCUGCUGCGCCCCGGCCGGCGCUCUCACUGACCUUCUCUUCCUGCCGCUCCAUUUCUUUAUUUUUUGUUAUUCGUUUCUCCCCCUGCUCCAGGACCCGUUCCCGUUUCCAGCCGCCCCGGCCCCCAUGGGGAGCACGCAGAGACCCCGGUGCCGUCGGGGAGAAGCGCCCUCGGGCCGCCGGCCUGGCGGGAGCGGGCUGCACCCCGCCUGAUCCGCGCGGGGCGCGGGGCGGCCUCGGCCCCCGGGCAGCACCCGCAGGAUGUACCCGCAGGGGCGGCACCCGACUCCCCUCCAGUCCGGGCAGCCCUUCAAGUUCUCGAUUUUGGAGAUCUGCGACCGGAUUAAGGAGGAAUUUCAGUUCCUGCAGGCUCAGUAUCACAGCCUGAAACUGGAAUGUGAGAAGCUGGUGAGUGAGAAGACUGAGAUGCAGAGACAUUAUGUGAUGUAUUAUGAAAUGUCCUAUGGGCUGAACAUUGAAAUGCACAAGCAGGCAGAGAUUGUCAAGAGACUGAGUGCCAUCUGUGCCCAGAUUAUACCCUUCCUGACACAGGAGCACCAGCAGCAGGUCCUGCAGGCGGUGGAGCGGGCCAAGCAGGUGACCAUGGGAGAACUCAACAGCAUCGUGGGGCAGCAGCAGCUUCAGCACCUCUCCCACCAUGCACCCCCCAUCCCGCUGACCCCCCACCCCUCCAGCAUGCAGCCAUCUAGCCUGACGGGGGUCGGCAGUACCUCAGGGCUCCUGGCCCUCUCAGGGGCACUCAUGGCGCAGUCACAGCUCGCUGCCAAGGAAGAUAGAGUGGUCCAGGAUGGGGAGAAUAGAGAGCACACCCCGAGCCAGAGUGUUUCUGCUUCCCCUUCGGAGAGCCUGCAGGAUGAGGAGCAGAUGGGCAGCACAGGGUUGAAGCGGAAACGGGAAGAAAAGGACUUGCCUGGGCAUUAUGACAGUGAUGGGGACAAGAGUGACUACAACCUUGUGGUGGAUGAGGAUCCGCCCUCGGAGCCUGGCAGCCCUGGCCGUGAGCCCAGUACCCGACUGCCCCCGAUCCGCCGGGACAUGCCUGAAAGCCCUGCCUCGCUCGCCUCCAGCCGCAGCACCACCCCUCUCAAGCCCAAGGACCAGAGUCCGAACCACCUCUCAGCCAGUGCUCCGGCCUCCAAGUGCGCCGGCUCCUCCCCACCCCAGGACUCCCUCACGUCCUGCCCCGGGCCCAGCUCAGCCUCCCAUCUCCGGCCACCUCCCGCCAAACUGCCUGCCACGGACACCAUCGCUCUCCGCAGCCCACUGAGUGUGUCCAGCCCCUACACAUCCUCCUUUGGAAUGGUGCCUCAUGCCACCCUCAACGGCGAGCUCUCAGUCCCCAGCAUGUAUAUGGGCAUCCAUCUCUCCCCGCAAGUCAGCAGCACUGUCAUGUAUGGACGGUCCCCAAUGGUGGCUUUUGAGUCUCACCCUCACCUGAGGGCUUCUUCAAUCUCCACCAUCCCUGGAGGGAAACCUGCCUACUCCUUCUAUGUCAGUGCCGACGGGCAGAUGCAGCCAGUGCCUUUCCCACCCGAUGCCCUCAUUGGCUCUGGCAUCCCCCGUCACGCACGGCAGCUCCACACCCUGACCCAUGGCGAGGUGGUCUGCGCUGUCACCAUCAGCAGCUCCACACAACAUGUCUACACAGGGGGCAAGGGCUGUGUGAAGGUGUGGGAUGUGGGACAGCCGGGCACCAAGACAGCCGUGGCACAGCUGGACUGCUUGAACCGGGACAACUACAUCCGCUCCUGCAAGCUGCUCCCUGACGGCCGCAGCCUCAUCGUCGGGGGAGAGGCCAGCACCCUGUCCAUCUGGGACCUGGCUGCCCCCACGCCCCGCAUCAAGGCUGAGCUCACCUCCUCCGCACCUGCCUGCUAUGCCCUGGCCAUCAGCCCCGAUGCCAAGGUCUGCUUCUCCUGCUGCAGUGAUGGCAACAUCGUGGUGUGGGACCUGCAGAACCAGACCCUGGUCAGGCAGUUUCAAGGUCACACAGAUGGUGCAAGCUGCAUCGAUAUCUCUAACUAUGGUACCAAGCUGUGGACAGGGGGCCUGGACAACACUGUGCGAUGCUGGGACCUGCGGGAAGGGCGUCAGCUGCAGCAGCAUGACUUCAGCUCGCAGAUCUUCUCCCUGGGGUACUGCCCCACGGGGGAGUGGCUUGCCGUUGGCAUGGAGAGCAGCAACGUGGAGAUCCUGCACGUGACCAAACCAGAGAAAUACCAGUUGCACCUCCACGAGAGCUGUGUCCUGUCCCUCAAGUUUGCCUCCUGCGGAAAAUGGUUUGUAAGCACUGGGAAGGACAACCUGCUGAAUGCCUGGCGGACACCCUAUGGAGCCAGCAUAUUCCAGUCCAAGGAGUCUUCAUCAGUGCUGAGCUGUGACAUCUCAAUCAACGACAAGUUCAUCGUUACGGGCUCCGGUGACAAGAAAGCCACGGUGUAUGAAGUGGUGUACUGAGGACCCCUGACUAUCGCCAUUCAUCAAUGAAGGAGCCAGACUUCGCCAAUGCCACUUCAGCCUAGCAGAGCUGCUCCUGCUGCUGGCAGAGGCAUCCUCGUUCAGUGCAUAGCAGCAGCUGGCUGUGGUAGUGGAGCUGUUUUCAUCUGCAGGCCUACUGUUAUGCACUCAUUCCCCCUGCCUUUCCCCUACCCCCCCCCCCGCCUUUCUUUCCUAUCAGCUGUUAAAAAAAAGGCGGGGGGGGGGGAACUUACACAUCUUUCUACCCCUUUCUCAGAUUUCUGCCUUAGAGCAGAGUAGGGAGAGAGUAAACUAGAAGAUCCUGGGCUUCAGGAGCUCUUUAUGGGCAUCUCAGUCAUGGGACUGUCCCUCAGUCCUAGAGGCACCGAGGAGAAGUGAUGAGACAGACACAGCCAUCAGUGACUGAGAAAGGCCAGGGCCUAGUGUUUCGAGUGUUUCUCUCAGGUUACUGCUACUGAGUUAAUGACACCAAUUUUCUGCUGCAACAACAGCUGUAAAUUCUUAUCAGUAAAGAAAUGUAUUUAGCAGUAUUUCCAAUCCCUUACUAAUAAAAAGGUGCAAAAGA